ACCAAUCUUCAAGGUAUGAAAAGAUAAAUGAUUCCAUGGGUAGGAAUGAGUUGGUAUACCAGCAAUCUAAAAUUCCCUUGCAGCCAUGAGACACAUCCCUCAGACUGAAGUUAACAGAAGCUUGAUCUCCCUUUGCACCUAUAAAUCUAUAAAUACCCUCUCUUCUUUAAGACACCUAUCGUUCCCAGCUGCUGUAGACUGAAUGUUUGUGUUCCUCCCAAAUCCAUUUGUUGGAAUCCCCAGUGUGUUGAUAUUGGGAGAUGGGGCCUUUGGGAGGUGACAAGGUCACGAGGGCUUCACCCUUACUAUAAUACUUUAACAUGAGAACUUGAUAUCUGUGGGGUUAAUGCCCCUACAAGUCAGGCUGAAGAGAGUUCCUUCAUGCUCUCUUCCACUUGAGGAGAUGGCUGUCUAUGAACUAUGAAGUGAGACUUCAUCAGACAUGCUUAGCUGUUGGUGUCUGUAUCUUGGACUUCACAGCCCCAAGAACUGUGAGAAAUAAAUUUCUGUUGUUUAUAAGGCUCUCAUUCUCUGGUAUUUUGUUACAGCAGCCUAAACAUACAAGAAUGAGUGCUCUCUAUUCAAAAACCAUCCUCCCUUCCUGUGCCAUCAGAGAAUCCAACAUUUUACCAGAAGAAGAAAUAUGGACACAGGCAUAUCCAGAAGGAAGAGCAUAUGAAGACAGGGGAGAUAACUGUCUAUGAGCCAAAGAGAGAGCCUUCAAAAGAAACCAAUCUGGCCAUCACUUUACUUUCAGCUCUGCACUGCGCAAAAACCACAUGCCUCAAGGCAGUUUUGAAGCACGAACAAGGCACAAGGCAGCUUUCUAUUGAAAGAAGACUAUGGAAGGCAAAGAGCAUAGAUUUUGGAGUCAGACAUAAGUGGAGUCAAAUCACAGUGCCAUUGCUGUUUAG
Phacochoerus africanus (Common warthog) is the source of this 914-nucleotide long non-coding RNA. RefSeq lists it as uncharacterized. The transcript has 3 exons. Lineage: Eukaryota; Metazoa; Chordata; Mammalia; Artiodactyla; Suidae. The record is from RefSeq and is a predicted model, not a curated record.